This is a long non-coding RNA of Lepidothrix coronata (blue-crowned manakin), 490 nucleotides long. RefSeq lists it as uncharacterized. The record is from RefSeq and is a predicted model, not a curated record. The transcript is spliced from 2 exons. Lineage: Eukaryota; Metazoa; Chordata; Aves; Passeriformes; Pipridae.
GGGGAAGAUCCUUUUCCUGGUAUCCAACCUGACCCUGCCCUGGCACAGCUCCAGCCGUUCCCUGGGGUUGGCAUGCAGAGGGACCUUGAAAAGUCCUCCAGCAAAGCCUUGGACACUGUCUCCCAGGGCACACUCCUGGAAAAGCUGCAGCCCACAGCCUGGACAGUUUGGUUGCAAAGGAAAGCAGGGAUGGAGUCGCUUGGCUUAUUGUUAUCUAUAGUAAUGUAAAAGCAUAAAAAUAACACUGAAGUGAUGGGAAGCGAGAUUAUGUGACUCUGGGAGAAACUUAAGGGGAACUUGGCAAUCUGAAUACAGACGUGGUGAGAUGUAUCUGUGUGUGCGUGAAAUUGCUUGGGAGUAUUUUUCUCCUGGGCAGAGAAUGCUUAACUAAAAAGUGGAUAUAGAGAAAAGCUACUGACUGGAAUUUACUGCUGAUGUAACGGGGUGGAUAAACCAUGAAAGAACUGUAAUAAAUGAUUUUGUUAUACCA